This 506-nucleotide ribosomal RNA is filed under the name uncultured bacterium. Its description in RNAcentral is "bacterial SSU rRNA". It matches the Rfam family "Bacterial small subunit ribosomal RNA", at positions 28 to 505 of the family's 1533-position model. The record is from RNAcentral.
GAUGAACGCUAGCGACAGGCCUAACACAUGCAAGUCGAGGGGCAUCGGGGUGUAGCAAUACGCUGCCGGCGACCGGCGGAUGGGUGAGUAACGCGUAUGCAACCUGCCUUCAGCAGGGGGAUAGCCCGUUGAAAGACGGAUUAAUACCCCCGUAACACAGGGGCUCCGCAUGGAGAUUAUUGUUAAAGGGAUGCUUCCUUCGGGGAGUAUUCUGGCUGAAGAUGGGCAUGCGUUCCAUUAGGUAGUUGGUUGAGGUAACGGCUCACCAAGCCUGCGAUGGAUAGGGGAACUGAGAGGUUGGUCCCCCACACUGGUACUGAGACACGGACCAGACUCCUACGGGAGGCAGCAGUGAGGAAUCUUGGUCAAUGGACGGAAGUCUGAACCAGCCAUGUCGCGUGAAGGAGGACGGCCCUAAGGGUUGUAAACUUCUUUUGCAGGGGAAUAAAGUAUUCCACGAGAUGGGAUAUUGCAAGUACGCUGCGAAUAAGGAUCGGCUAACUCCG